RNAcentral lists this ribosomal RNA (336 nucleotides) under uncultured bacterium. Its description in RNAcentral is "bacterial SSU rRNA". It matches the Rfam family "Bacterial small subunit ribosomal RNA", at positions 8 to 334 of the family's 1533-position model. The record is from RNAcentral.
AGAGUUCGAUUAUGGCUCAGGACGAACGCUGGCGGCGUGCCUAACACAUGCAAGUCGAACGGGAUUUAGCAGUAGCUUGCUACAGCGAAGAUCUAGUGGCGGACGGGUGAGUAACACGUGAGCAAUCUGCCUUAAAGAGGGGGAUAACGUCUGGAAACGGACGCUAAUACCGCAUAACGUAUCGAGUGGGCAUCCACAUGAUACCAAAGGAGCAAUCCGCUUUAAGAUGAGCUCGCGUCUGAUUAGCUAGUUGGUGAGGUAACGGCUCACCAAGGCGACGAUCAGUAGCCGGACUGAGAGGUUGAACGGCCACAUUGGGACUGAGACACGGCCCAG